AGUGGCAAACGGGUGAGUAACGCGUGGGAACCUACCUUAUAGUACGGAAUAGUCCCGGGAAACUGGGUUUAAUACCGUAUAUACUCUCCGGAGGAAAGAUUUAUCGCUAUAAGAUGGGCCCGCGUUAGAUUAGCUAGUUGGUGAGGUAAUGGCUCACCAAGGCUACGAUCUAUAGCUGGUUUGAGAGGAUGAUCAGCCACACUGGAACUGAGACACGGUCCAGACUUCUACGGGAGGCAGCAGUGGGGAAUAUUGGACAAUGGGCGAAAGCCUGAUCCAGCAAUACCGCGUGAGUGUUAAGGCCUUAGGGUUGUAAAACUCUUUCAGUAGGGAAGAUAAUGACGGUACCUACAGAAGAAGCACCGGCUAACUCCGUGCCAGCAGCCGCGGUAAUACGGAGGGUGCUAGCGUUGUUCGGAAUUACUGGGCGUAAAGAGUGCGUAGGCGGUUUAACAAGUUGGGAGUGAAAUCCCGGGGCUCAACCUCGGAAUUGCUCUCAAAACUGUUAGACUAGAGUAUGGUAGGGGAUAGUGGAAUUCCUAGUGUAGGGGUGAAAUCCGUAGAUAUUAGGAGGAACACCAGAGGCGAAGGCGACUAUCUGGGCCAUUACUGACGCUAAGGCACGAAAGCGUGGGGAGCAAACGGGAUUAGAUACCCCGGUAGUCCACGCCGUAAACGAUGGGUGCUAGUUAUUGGGGCU
This 700-nucleotide ribosomal RNA is filed under the name uncultured Alphaproteobacteria bacterium. RNAcentral's name for it is "bacterial SSU rRNA". It matches the Rfam family "Bacterial small subunit ribosomal RNA", at positions 94 to 830 of the family's 1533-position model. Lineage: Bacteria; Pseudomonadati; Pseudomonadota; Alphaproteobacteria. The record is from RNAcentral.